Abrus precatorius (Indian licorice) is the source of this 1212-nucleotide long non-coding RNA. RefSeq lists it as uncharacterized. NCBI's taxonomy places the organism in Eukaryota, Viridiplantae, Streptophyta, Magnoliopsida, Fabales, Fabaceae. The transcript is spliced from 3 exons. The record is from RefSeq and is a predicted model, not a curated record.
AGGGAGGGAAAGAGUUGAUUCAUUCUCCCGUAAUCGUAUCCAUCAUCGAUCAAUAUCAAUUCCAAGAAGACAAUAAGAGAAUUCAAAAUCACAUCACAUCGCAUAGACAUGAAUUCAAUUUCAAGAACCCCAUUGCUCGCUUUCCUCGUCGCUUUCUCUUUGCACUUUAUUCUCGGCUUUUCUGAAGACUCGCCUGCUUCUAAAGAUGCACCUCGCAGCACUACUUCUAUAAUUAUCAUUGUAGUAAUUGCGCUUGCGUUAUUUUCUUUGCUCUCCUUUUUACUGUUUAAGUUGUGGCGGAAGAAGAAAAGGGAAGAGCAAUAUGCUCGUCUUUUGAAAUUGUUUGAAGAGGAUGAUGAGUUAGAGCUUGAGCUUGGCCUAAGGGACUGAUCUUUGCAAUUCAACAUCUUCAAGGCUUAUGUGAGUCUAUUUAUUUUGAAAUGGGUUAUGCUAACGAGUGCUAGGACCCUUGUUAAGAAUAAAAAUUAGCAUAUAUAUGAUGAUAUGUUAUUAUGAUUUCAUUUUUAGAUCCUUAACUAGUGUCCUAAUAAUACUCGUUAGCAUUUGCCUUUCGAAUCUUCUGCUUCUUCCAUGGCCAAGAUGGAUAUGAUGUUGGAUCUCCUGUGAUGAAGUUAGGACUUUUUUUGGAGAAGAAUCAUAAUUGAUUGUUUGUAAUGCUAUUCGAUUGUUUUCUUUUCAUAGGUAUUUAUUUAUCUACAUAGUAGAUGAAGAAAAGGGUAAUUUUGCACAAAGUGAUUAGACGGGUGUCUUCAUGAGUAUGAUACACCUGAAAUUUGUUGAUAUGUAUGAUAUUUAUUAUAGUCUUGACAUGUAGAUAAUAUGUGUGUGGUGUUUAUGAAUGAGUGCCUUGUUAUUUAUAUUUGAGGACAUCUGCUUUUUAAAAUAACAUAGGCAAAACAGAUGAAGAGGAUCUGUAUUAAAUAACUUGUUUGGGUUUUGUUGUGGUUAUGAGUUUUUCCCCUAUUUGGUUGACAUUUAUUGUUUCUUGUGGAAGGAUCUUUAAUGCCUCCAUAAGAUGGGCAGUCCCUUUUACUUUUAAUCUUUGAAAAUGAUGUAAAGCAAGGGACAUUUGACUUUGUCUCAUACUUAGUGACUUUGACACUUCUAAAGUGAGGAUUUCAAUCAGCUAUUAUAAUUCUGUAUUAAUUCUUCUAAAAUGCAUCCGUCGCCCUAGAAAAGUUUGCAUAGUGC